UACUGAGUUACCGCUCUAUAACCCUUUGUGAACAUACCUACAACUGUUGCUUCGGCGGGUAGGCCGUCCCCUGAAAAGGACGCCUCCCGGCCCGGACCGGACCCCCCGCGGGACCGGACCCGGCGCCCGCCGGAGGAUAACCAAACUCUAUUGUAACGACGUUUCUUCUGAGUGGCAUAAGCAAAAUAAUCAAAACUUUUAACAACGGAUCUCUUGGUUCUGGCAUCGAUGAAGAACGCAGCGAAAUGCGAUAAGUAAUGUGAAUUGCAGAAUUCAGUGAAUCAUCGAAUCUUUGAACGCACAUUGCGCCCGCCAGCAUUCUGGCGGGCAUGCCUGUUCGAGCGUCAUUUCAACCCUCAAGCUCUGCUUGGUGUUGGGGCUCUACGGACGACGUAGGCCCUCAAAGGUAGUGGCGGACCCUCCCGGAGCCUCCUUUGCGUAGUAACAUUUCGUCUCGCACUGGGAUCCGGAGGGACUCUUGCCGUAAAACCCCCCAAUUUUCCAAAGGUUGACCUCGGAUCAGGUAGGAAUACCCGCUGAACUUAAGCAUAUCAAUAGGCGGAGGAA
This 567-nucleotide ribosomal RNA is filed under the name Colletotrichum boninense. RNAcentral describes it as "eukaryotic LSU rRNA". The stretch from base 194 to 347 matches the Rfam family "5.8S ribosomal RNA". The record is from RNAcentral. Lineage: Eukaryota; Fungi; Ascomycota; Sordariomycetes; Glomerellales; Glomerellaceae.